RNAcentral lists this long non-coding RNA (1990 nucleotides) under Marmota monax (woodchuck). The record is from RNAcentral. Lineage: Eukaryota; Metazoa; Chordata; Mammalia; Rodentia; Sciuridae.
GGCCCCAGGUCCAGUGGAGGUGAGGCUGGAAGAAGAAACAGAACCUGGCUCUAGAGUCUGGGCAGUGGAAAGCACUGAAGCCUUUAGGUUUUGAAGGAUUAUUUUGCUUGCAAGGGGGUGGUUAGGGAGGCCCCUUUGGGUGAGUGGCCCAGAGCCUGAGUCUGAGCAGGGCUCUUUGGCAGGCGGGUUCCUGAGGGAGCACUCUCAGGCCAGCCUAUAAAAGCACCAGGGAAACAGGGCAGGCUACCAUGCUGUCUGGCUUCAGCCAGUUCCCAGGGGAGCUCUGGAGAGUGCACGGUGCUGCAGAUUUGCCCCUCUGUGCCCUCUGAUCAGGCAGAUGUGACUGUGAGCUGUCUCUGGAGGGAAGGCAACCCCCAUUCCCAGGCAUUUUCAGGUGAGUGACGCCUUUCUCCCAGGGCAAGUCUCCAGAGAAGGGAACAGCUGUGUUCUGUUAGGGGUGACAAUCACAGCAGGGGGGAUGGGUGCAGGAGCCCAGAGACAUUACCACGAUCUACGUUUGGAGGGAAACAGGUUUGCUUUGUUUUGGGGGCUCCUGAUGUCCUCUGCAUGGGGGAGAUUGCUUUCCAUUGCUGAGAAGGGAAGGCCUAAUCAGUCUCUCUAAUGGAAAACGCAUUAGGCUUUUUAGAGGUGUCUGCUAAGUCAGAGGCAGGAGCAACAGGACAUUUCCAUGGCUUGGCUGGGGGCAGGACCUCCAAGGUGUCUCCAUCAACCAUGAAGAAGAGGCCCGCAGUUCAGAAUUAAUCAGAGGCAAAGGGAGUAGGAUUUGAGUCACACUGGAGUCUGUGACAGGCAAGCCAGGGACAGGGCUAUGCCAACAGUCUAAAAAUAAAUAAUUCCCUCCUGUUUCCUUCAGAGGCACUCAAGGCAAUUUGCAAACAUUUGCAGGCAACUUUUCACGGGGCUGAACUGCAGGCAAAGCUCCCACUGACUUCACAGGGAGCUCCCAGGGGACACGCAGCAAGGUGAGGCCUUAGUUCUGGGUAAUUAAGACUUACGGCACCCUUGUUAGCGAAGAAAUCCCGGUGCACAUCAUUGAAAUGCAGCAGCUCUGCAGCCCGCAGCCCCUCGGCCGCCCGCGACCAUUAGCCCACUCCAACCAUCGUUAAUUUUGCCAUCCUUCACUUUUUGAAAUCAGAGAAUGACAUCACUUUGAUUAAGAGGGACAAUCGUGUUACAGACAAUCAGUGGAGUUAGCCUGCAUUUGGUCGGGCGCUCAGAGCCGCUCACUGGUGGUGGGGUUGGUGCUCCCCGGGAGGCAGGGACCAGAAGGAGGUCAGCUCUGAUUCCACCGCUGCCUUUUGAGCAUGCACCUCCUCCUUAUGCUUCUCUCCUUUUCUUUUUUCCUUCCUGUCCCUUUCUCUAAGACACAAAGGUGUUCAUAGGUGAUUACCCCUGGCCAGGAGGAAAUCUCUCUAGAACAUUCUAUCCUGGAUCAGGACAGAGGAAGAACGAGAGAAUGAAUUAACAGAUGGAUGUGAGCUACUCCAAGUGCAGGUGCUGUGCUGGAGGCUGGGAAGGGUGGACCUCAUUCCUGACUCUCAAAGGACUUAAAAACUGCAUCUCUAUGCAGGGAAAGACACUUAGAACAAGGGCAAGCAACCCUUUGGGAUUCAGGUGGAUUGGAUUUGAACCCUGGCUCUGCCACUCUGUCUGUGUGAUUUGGGCAAGUCAUCCAACCUGUCUGUGCCUCCGUUUUCUCAUCUGUAACAUGGGACUAGCAAUAGUAAUGACUUCAUAGUGUGUUUGGGAGGAAUAAACAAAUUAAUGAAAGGGCUUUAAAAUGUGGUCAUGGUUCAAUGCAUAUGAGCAAAGCAACAGACGUUCAUAGAACACUUGCUACACGAAGCUCUUCUCGGCUUUAUCUCGCCCAAUUUGCUGAUAACAAAGGAGAUGGGGAUGACCAUUAUCCCCGACUGUGGUCUAAAUGUCUCACAAAAACUAAUGUCGCGAUGACUUGCUAUUGUAGGAG